CCUACGGGAGGCAGCAGUGGGGGAUAUUGCACAAUGGGGGAAACCCUGAUGCAGCGACGCCGCGUGAGUGAUGAAGUAUUUCGGUUUGUAAAGCCCUAUCAGCAGGGAAGAAAAUUACAGUACCUGCCCAAUAAGCCCCGGCUAACUCCGUGCCAGCAGCCGAGGUCAUACGUAGGGGGCAAGCGUUAUCCGGAUUUACUGGGUGUAAAGGGAGCGUAGACGGGCAUGUAAGUCUGGAGUGAACGCCUGGGGCCCAACCCCGGGACUGCUUUUGAAACUGUGUAACUGGAGUACAGGAGGGGCAGGCGGAAUUCCUGGUGUAGCGGUGAAAGGCGUAGAUAUCAGGAGGAACACCGGCGGCGAAGGCGGCCUGCUGGAAUGAAACUGACGUUGAGGCUCGAAAGCGUGGGGAGCAAACAGGAUUAGAUACCCCAGUAGUC
Molecule: ribosomal RNA, 440 nt
Filed under: uncultured bacterium
Lineage: Bacteria
Description: partial 16S ribosomal RNA
Rfam family: Bacterial small subunit ribosomal RNA
Source: RNAcentral